Long non-coding RNA from Paramisgurnus dabryanus, 814 nucleotides. RefSeq lists it as uncharacterized. NCBI's taxonomy places the organism in Eukaryota, Metazoa, Chordata, Actinopteri, Cypriniformes, Cobitidae. The record is from RefSeq and is a predicted model, not a curated record.
CCCAGAAUGAACCCGAGUUGAGGACCUUUGACAUGAAGACAAUUGGCCUUUACAUUCUAGCCCCCUCAUUUGCUUUGCUUCUCAUUUGCAUAUUUGCUGGAGUCAUCAUAUACAAGAAGUGUAACAGGUCAAAUGAUUUGCAUGCAACUGCGGCCCUUACACCAUCACCAAAGAGUCAGAAAAAAACCUGCACUAUGGAGGAUUGUGAAGGUUUAUGCCAAUAUGGAAGAUCUCAACAUCUAUGGAAACGUCUAAGGAAAAUGCUCCACAUCACUUGCAAAAUGUGCUCAAUACAGUGUUUUAAACAGAAAAGAAAAAAGUUAACAUAUAUUUUAGUUAAUAUUAAAAAUGCUUUCUCAUCUCAUGGAAAAUAGCAUCAAUAUUUUAAUUCACAUACUUUUAUAUUAGACUUACUAUUACUUUAUCUGAUUUGUGUGGCAUCUGGAUCUCUCUUUGACUUUUCAGUUCUAAUGAGGAAUUUGGCUAAGCAAACAACUUUGCACUUAAAGGGACAGUUUACCCAAAAACUAAAAUUCUGUAAUUAAUUACUCUCUGUCAUGUUGUUUUAAACCUGUAUGAGUUUCUUUAUUCUGUUGAACACAACAAAAGAUAUUUUGAUAAAUGAUGGUGAGUAAUGGUGUUUCCUACCGUACUACAGUAUGGCAGUCAAUGGGUACCGUUGAGUGUAUGGAUACCAUCAUUUCUUAAAGGAAUCAUUUGAUUUCAUAUUUUCUUUUGUCUUUAGUGUGUUAAAAGCUGUUUGUGCAUAUAUAAGAUUUGUAAAGUUGCAAUUAUUAAAGUUUUCAAACCCAAA